AUUGAACGCUGGCGGCAGGCCUAACACAUGCAAGUCGAACGGUAACAGGAAGAAGCUUGCUUCUUUGCUGACGAGUGGGGGACGGGCGAGUAAUGUCUGGGAAACUGCCUGAUGGAGGGGGUUAACUACUGGAACCGGUAGCUAAUACCGCAUAACUUCGCAAGACCAAAGAGCGGGACCUUCGGGCCUCUUGCCAUCGGAUGUGCCCAGAUGGGAUUAGCUAGUAGGUGGGGUAACGGCUCACCUAGGCGACGAUCCCUAGCUGGUCUGAGAGGAUGACCAGCCACACUGGAACUGAGACACGGUCCAGACUCCUACGGGAGGCAGCAGUGGGGAAUAUUGCACAAUGGGCGAAAGCCUGAUGCAGCCAUGCCGCGUGUAUGAAGAAGGCCUUCGGGUUGUAAAGUACUUUCAGCGGGGAGGAAGGGAGUAAAGUUAAUACCUUUGCUUAUUGACGUUACCCGCAGAAGAAGCACCGGCUAACUCCGUG
RNAcentral lists this ribosomal RNA (490 nucleotides) under uncultured bacterium. Its description in RNAcentral is "partial 16S ribosomal RNA". It matches the Rfam family "Bacterial small subunit ribosomal RNA", at positions 30 to 507 of the family's 1533-position model. The record is from RNAcentral.